RNAcentral lists this ribosomal RNA (499 nucleotides) under uncultured Glomeromycotina. Its description in RNAcentral is "partial small subunit ribosomal RNA". It matches the Rfam family "Eukaryotic small subunit ribosomal RNA", at positions 591 to 1092 of the family's 1831-position model. Lineage: Eukaryota; Fungi; Glomeromycota. The record is from RNAcentral.
CCAAUAGCGUAUAUUAAAGUUGUUGCAGUUAAAAAGCUCGUAGUUGAAUUUCGGGAUCAAUAUAUCGGUCGUGCCUUGGUACGUACUGGUAUCAUUGGUUUCUCCUUUCUGACGAACCAUGAUGUCAUUAAUUUGGUGUUAUGGGAAGUUAGGACUGUUACUUUGAAAAAAUUAGAGUGUUUAAAGCAGGCUUUAGCUUGAAUACAUUAGCAUGGAAUAAUGAAAUAGGACGUUCGAACCUAUUUUGUUGGUUUCUAGGAUCAACGUAAUGAUUAAUAGGGGUAGUUGGGGGCAUUAGUAUUCAAUUGUCAGAGGUGAAAUUCUUGGAUUUAUUGAAGACUAACUACUGCGAAAGCAUUUGCCAAGGAUGUUUUCAUUAAUCAAGAACGAAAGUUAGGGGAUCGAAGACGAUCAGAUACCGUCGUAGUCUUAACCAUAAACUAUGCCGACUAGGGAUCGGAUGAUGUUAAUUUUUUAAUGACUCAUUCGGCGCCUUACG